AGUGAACGCUGGCGGUAGGCCUAACACAUGCAAGUCGAACGGCAGCACAGUAAGAGCUUGCUCUUACGGGUGGCGAGUGGCGGACGGGUGAGGAAUACAUCGGAAUCUACUUUUUCGUGGGGGAUAACGUAGGGAAACUUACGCUAAUACCGCAUACGACCUACGGGUGAAAGCAGGGGAUCUUCGGACCUUGCGCGAUUGAAUGAGCCGAUGUCGGAUUAGCUAGUUGGCGGGGUAAAGGCCCACCAAGGCGACGAUCCGUAGCUGGUCUGAGAGGAUGAUCGGCCACACUGGAACUGAGACACGGUCCAGACUCCUACGGGAGGCAGCAGUGGGGAAUAUUGGACAAUGGGCGCAAGCCUGAUCCAGCCAUACCGCGUGGGCGAAGAAGGCCUUCGGGUUGUAAAGCCCUUUUGUUGGGAAAGAAAAGCAGCAGGUUAAUACCCCGCUGUUCUGACGGUACCCAAAGAAUAAGCACCGGCUAACUUCGUG
RNAcentral lists this ribosomal RNA (492 nucleotides) under uncultured bacterium. Its description in RNAcentral is "partial 16S ribosomal RNA". It matches the Rfam family "Bacterial small subunit ribosomal RNA", at positions 29 to 507 of the family's 1533-position model. The record is from RNAcentral.